This is a non-coding RNA of Vibrio vulnificus YJ016, 51 nucleotides long. The record is from Rfam. Lineage: Bacteria; Pseudomonadati; Pseudomonadota; Gammaproteobacteria; Vibrionales; Vibrionaceae.
AUUCCUACUGUUACUGUCCGGCUCCAUAAUUCAUAUAAUGAUGGGCAGUGA